Molecule: ribosomal RNA, 198 nt
Filed under: uncultured bacterium
Lineage: Bacteria
Description: partial 16S ribosomal RNA
Rfam family: Bacterial small subunit ribosomal RNA
Source: RNAcentral
ACGCUCGACACCUACGGGAGGCNGCAGUGGGGAAUAUUGCACAAUGGGGGAAACCCUGAUGCAGCGACGCCGCGUGGAGGAAGAAGGUCUUCGGAUUGUAAACUCCUGUUGUUGGGGAAAAAGAGGAUGGUACCCAACAAGGAAGUGACGGCUAACUACGUGCUAGCAGCCGCGGUAAUCUGAGCGGGCUGGCAAGGC